CAGGUCAUCGUCGCUGUCUUUUAUUGGUAUCAUGAUGCUGGUGGGCCUCGAUGGCAGGCGACACCUCAGCGUCGUCUCAAGGUCCACUGCCUCCGACUCUGUCUUAUGAGGCCAGGCAGUUCCCUCACCCCCCCGCCCCCUCCAUCCCUGCGAGUGCAGAGCCACAUCUGGCGGUGACCGCGUCCGUCACCCGCUACGUGGGGAAGUUAUAGCGAGUCCUCGCUGCUGAUGUGGGCGGCCAGGUCGCGGAGGGCGCGGCGCCGGGGCACCCUGCGAGGCGGGGAGUGUGGGCAGAGCGCGAGGCAGGGGCUGCACUGAGACGGCUGCGUCGGGGCGUUUGCUGCAACGCGUGUGCCUACGGCUGCUUCGCACCACGCGACGGGGCCUGUGGCAGGGCCGGAGGCGGUGUGACGUUGAACAUGUGUCGUAUGGCGGAGCGUGGGCGUACUGGACGAUACAAUCUAAAUCGACGGUGGCGGCUGGAGGUUUGGCUGUGUGUCCUCUUCUGCUAUUUUUCUUUAUGUCGUUCUUUCUCCCUGCGACGCUUCCGAUGCAACAUGCCCUCUGCUUGAAACGCCCACGCCUGUCAAAGGCGUGCGGAUGCAGGGGAAGGUGGAGUGUGCCCCGUGCCGCCGCAGACUCACAGCAACGUCUCGCCUGUCGCUGCACAUGCGGGCAAGCCAUCCAGGCACGACUCCAUGGUGUCGGCGGAAGCGGCAGAUGACGGCAGCGAGCCCCCUCCCUAUACAAGCGAGCAGCGCCGUACUGGAGCAGGCCCCAGGAUGCAAGAAUGCGAGUGCUGUGCGCCGGCGCUGCCGAGCACAAGCCGGCAUGGCGUCUUGCAUCCGAGCAAGGCGCGAAGAGAUCUAUACCGAUCAGCCCCCCCCUCCUCAGUGCAUGUGCGCGAAAUGUGCGACACCUCCUCGAUCCGACUGGGUGGGCUGAGGAGGCACAGAUGCCGGGGGAGGGGGGGAUAUGACGCGAGCACCCCGAACGGCUGCAUCGAGUCCUCCGGGCUCCCAUGUGGAGAGUCUCCGCACCGUAUUACGGCAUGCCGCUGCUUGAGUCGACUGAAAGAGAGGCCUGGCACACAGACAGGGGGUGUGCAGGGUCUCAGAGUGCCCUGGCCUGGGGCCGGCCAACCUCCUCUCUGCGCUCAUCCGGCGCGCACCUGGACCACCCCCUGAUCACCCGCACGACAGACGCCACCGGUUCCGCCUUUGAUCAGUAUGCAUGCCGCAGCUCGACAGAGACCGAUGUGCUGUGCUUGCAUGUGCGCCGAUUCGAUGACUUGUUCGUUUUUUAAAUGACACUUGGAUUAACAUAAUCGGUUGACCCAUCCGUUGGUGCUCGUGUGCCUCGUGUUUCUCCCUGUUGUAUAGGUGCUUUCUCGGUAUAUGUGCGUUAUGCGUUCACAUAUGGGCUGCGAUGUCGAUGUGUGCCGUUGCACGCGUGUGUGGCUCUCUCGCUUUCUCUUCUUGGGUGUGCCGCUCUCAAUCCGCCUCAACGUUUUUUGCCUUGUGUUGUGGGUCCAUCUCCCGUGCGCGCAACGGCUCCGUCUUUUGUAUCUUGCCGAGCCUUGUGGUGGAUGCGCGUUGGGGUGCCGCCUCACACCCUUUCUUCUCCCUCUCUUGGUUCCUCGAAUAUCACCAUCGAGUGCUGCUUUGUGUUGUCCACCGCGCGUGUUGUGCUGAUCUGCGCGCUGCCCGCGUCCGUGUUUCUGUCUGCUGUGCUUCUUUCAUUUCGUUGCUUUUCUUUCUCGUUUGCCGUCCUCUUCCCAUGUGCAGCUCGAGGCUCGGCUACCUCGCUUCAUGCGUAGUGGCGGUGCGUGCUCGCGCGAGGAUUGUACGUAUGCGUGUGGUGUAUGUAUGCGUAUGCUUAUACGUGUAUGUGUGCUUGUUUGUGUGCAUUUCGUUUUUACUUUUUGUCGUUGGCAUUCUCACUGCACUCGCUGCAUGUGUGCUCGGUGCAAGGCUGAGUCUUGCCUCUGCUCUGUGUCUCUUUUUCGGGGGUCUCGAUGUCUCCGCACCGACCGUGCGAGCAGACGGCCGCAACGCACUCUUAGCUUUUCUUCAUCUGAAUGAAGGAAAAGGAGAGGCGGGGAGGGGGGCGCCCACACACUAAGAAUGUGAAGUACGCCGCUGUCGUAUCGUGCUCUGCGCAAAACGUUACGUGCGCGACACAGGCAUUUGUGCGUCGACCUCUCUUCGUGUUGCAACCCUGAGGUAAGAAUUACGGACUCCUCCUAUGGACAGUGAGCGUCCUCUCUUUCGCCCUUCCAUGUCUUCGCAGUGCCCACUUUUCCGUUGUUCAGAGGGCUGCUUGCGGCUGCGGCGUCCGUCUUUGUAUUUUUAGUGCGCAGCAGCGUUGAUGAGUCUGGGAACAUUCUGUGUGCCGCUUUCUGUGUGCGAACUCGGCCUGGUGGUGAUGCUGUCUGAUGAAAAAGCAAGGUGUCGCUGUUUACGGUUGCCUGUCUCCCAGAGGAACUGGUUUCUUUUGGUGGAGCGGAUUCGCGUGUGCAGCACCCCACCCGCUUGGUGCCCGUCCGCACGCUUGCCUGCGCUUCUGGUCCUCUACCCAUCCCCACGCGUGAAUGAGUUGAUCAUCUCACGCGACAGAGCUCGCGGAGCGGCAUAAGGGCGAGAGUCCCUCGUGAUACGGCAGCGGUUUUGCGCGCUCACUAAUUACGCGUCUCGUGAGCGUCAUGCGCAAGAUGGGCCAUGACCUCUAUGGUCCGUCACGUUGACCUAUGACUCCUCUUUGUGUGGACGUGUCUUCGCAGGUGCGGCCACCCGCAAAUCGUUUUUCAUUCGCUUUUUGUGUUACAUGCACUCGCAUGCUGCAGAGCAAGUACCCCUCCCCCUCCCUCUACUCUUCUCCCUAUCGAUUCACAGAAGAACCGACAUGCUUGUGUGCAUGUUGUGUGUGCGUGUGUGUGUCGCUGUCCUCUUCUGUUGUUCUGCGUACCUCUAGGGUACAGCGCUUGCUGCUGAUGCUC
RNAcentral lists this unclassified non-coding RNA (2998 nucleotides) under Leishmania donovani. RNAcentral's name for it is "gene:unknown". Lineage: Eukaryota; Euglenozoa; Kinetoplastea; Trypanosomatida; Trypanosomatidae. The record is from RNAcentral.